RNAcentral lists this transfer RNA (66 nucleotides) under Marmota monax (woodchuck). RNAcentral describes it as "tRNA.Ala". The record is from RNAcentral. Lineage: Eukaryota; Metazoa; Chordata; Mammalia; Rodentia; Sciuridae.
GGUUGUGGCUCAGUGGUAGAGCACUUGCCUCGCACAGGGAGGCCCUGGGAUCAAUCCUCAGCACCA